GAUCCUGGCUCAGGAUGAACGCUAGCUACAGGCUUAACACAUGCAAGUCGAGGGGAAACGAUAUUGGAAGCUUGCUUCCGAUAGGCGUCGACCGGCGCACGGGUGAGUAACGCGUAUCCAACCUGCCCACCACUUGGGGAUAACCUUGCGAAAGUAAGACUAAUACCCAAUGAUAUCUCUAGAAGACAUCUGAAAGAGAUUAAAGAUUUACCGGUGUAAGAUGGGGAUGCGUUCCAUUAGAUAG
RNAcentral lists this ribosomal RNA (244 nucleotides) under uncultured bacterium. Its description in RNAcentral is "partial 16S ribosomal RNA". It matches the Rfam family "Bacterial small subunit ribosomal RNA", at positions 15 to 248 of the family's 1533-position model. The record is from RNAcentral.